AGCGCAGUGCGGAUGAUCACCUAGU
Molecule: non-coding RNA, 25 nt
Filed under: Arabidopsis thaliana (thale cress)
Lineage: Eukaryota; Viridiplantae; Streptophyta; Magnoliopsida; Brassicales; Brassicaceae
Source: RNAcentral